UGAGUACGAGCUGCUACGGCAGCGAAGUGGGUGAUGUCAAGCUUCCAAGAAAAGCCCUAUACCCGUUAAGGCAUGACGGCCUGUACCCGAAACCGACACAGGUGGGGUGGUAGAGAAUACCGAGGGGCGCGAGGUAACUCUCUCUAAGGAACUCAGCAAAAUGGCCCCGUAACUUCGGGAGAAGGGGUGCCACCGCAAGGUGGUCGCAGUGAAGAGGCCCAGGCGACUGUUUACCAAAAACACAGGUCUCCGCUAAGUCGCAAGACGAUGUAUGGGGGCUGACGCCUGCCCAGUGCCGGAAGGUUAAGGAAGCUGGUCAGCGAAAGCGAAGCUAGCGACUGAAGCCCCGGUGAACGGCGGCCGUAACUAUAACGGUCCUAAGGUAGCGAAAUUCCUUGUCGGGUAAGUUCCGACCCGCACGAAAGGCGUAACGAUCUGGGCGCUGUCUCGGAGAGAGGCUCGGCGAAAUAGAAUUGUCUGUGAAGAUGCGGACUACGUGCACCCGGACAGAAAGACCCUAUGAAGCUUUACUGUAGCUUGGUAUUGUGCCCGGGCUCUGAAUGCGCAGGAUAGGUGGGAGACAUUGAUGCAUGGCUUGCGGGUCAUGCGGAGUCAACGGUGAGAUACCACUCUUUCAGAGCUAGGGUUCUAUCAGCCACCCGUUAUCCGGGGGCUGGACAGUAUCAGGUGGGCAGUUUGACUGGGGCGGUCGCCUCCUAAAAGGUAACGGAGGCGCGCAAAGGUUUGCUCAGGCUGGUUGGAAAUCAGCCGACGAGUGUAAAAGCAGAAGCAAGCUUGACUGUGAGACCUACAAGUCGAACAGGGACGAAAGUCGGCUUUAGUGAUCCGACGGUUCUGAGUGGAAGGGCCGUCGCUCAACGGAUAAAAGUUACUCUAGGAUAACAGGCUGAUCUCCCCCAAGAGUUCACAUCGACGGGGAGGUUUGGCACCUCGAUGUCGGCUCAUCGCAACCUGGGGCUGAAGUCGGUCCCAAGGGUUGGGCUGUUCGCCCAUUAAAGCGGUACGCGAGCUGGGUUCAGAACGUCGUGAGACAGUUCGGUCCAUAUCCGGUGCAUGCGUAAGAACAUUGAGAGGAGUUCUCCCUAGUACGAGAGGACCGGGAGGAACGCACCUCUGGUGUACCAGUUAUCGUGCCAACGGUAAACGCUGGGUAGCCAUGUGCGGAGAGGAUAACCGCUGAAAGCAUCUAAGUGGGAAGCCCACCUCAAGAUGAGUGUUCUCAUGGCUUAAGCCAGUAAGGUCACGGGAAGAACACCCGUUGAUAGGCUCUACGUGGAAGCUUGGUAACAGGUGAAGCGGAGGAGUACUAAUAGACCGAGGGCUUGACC
This 1349-nucleotide ribosomal RNA is filed under the name metagenome. Its description in RNAcentral is "bacterial LSU rRNA". It matches the Rfam family "Bacterial large subunit ribosomal RNA", at positions 1564 to 2925 of the family's 2925-position model. The record is from RNAcentral.